RNAcentral lists this long non-coding RNA (1071 nucleotides) under Lonchura striata (white-rumped munia). Its description in RNAcentral is "domestica (Bengalese finch) lncRNA (ENSLSDG00000011240.1)". The record is from RNAcentral. Lineage: Eukaryota; Metazoa; Chordata; Aves; Passeriformes; Estrildidae.
GGGCGGAGACGGCGGGGGGGGGCGGGAGCGGGACCCUCAACCGGAGAACCACGCCGGUCUAGGGGGCCCCAAACCGGCCGGAAUUCACCCCAAAACCGGCCCCAAACCGGCCGGAAUUCACCCCAAAAUCGGCCCCAAACCGGCCCCAAAUUAUCCCGAAAUUAUCCCAAAAUUAUCCCGAAAUUUUCCCAAAUACACCCCAAAAUCGGCCCCAAAUUCAGCCCGAAAUCAGCACAAAUUCACCCCAAAAUCAGCCCAAAAUCAGCCCAAAAUUAUCCCAAAAUUAUCCCCAAUUCACCCCAAAAUUCAUCCAAAAUCGGCCCGAAAUUAUCCCAAAAUUAUCCCAAAAUCAGCGCGAAAUUAUCCCAAAAUUAUCCCAAAUUCACCACAAAAUUCAUCCAAAAUCACCCAAAAUUCACCCAAAAUCACCCCAAAAAUCCCCCAAAAUUCACUUUUCAGAUUUACCCAAAAUUCACCCCAAAUUCACGGGGAUCCCCCAAAAUCCCCCUCAGGACCCCAAAAUCCGGGUGCCAAAAAUCGUCAAUUUUUUGGAGCCCCAAAAUCGUCAUUUUUUGGAUGGAAUUGCCCAAAUUUCCCCUCCCUGGGGGAUCCCAAAAUUCCCUUUUUUCCCCUUCUUUCCCCGUUUUUCCCUUUUUUUCCCAUUCCCCCAUUUUUUGACUUUUUUUUUUUUUUUUUGUUUUUUUUUUCUUUUUUUUGUUUUUUUUUUUUUUUUUUUUUUUUUUUUUUUUUUUUUUUUUUUUUUUUUUUUUUUUUUUUUUUUUUCUCGUUUUUCCCUUUUUUCCCCUUUUUCCCCAUUUUUUGCCCCAUUUUGCCCCUCCCCCCCCACCCCCGGGGGGUCCCAGUGCCUUAAAGGGGGGGGCUGGGACCCCCGGGGUGCCCCCACCAGUUUGGACCAGUACGGACCAGUACGGACCAGUACGGACCAGUUUGGACCAGUUUGGACCAGUUUGACCCAAUUUCCCUAGACCAGUCUGGACCAGUUUGGCCCAGUAACCCCCAAUUUCCCCGGACCAGUUUGGCCCAGUUUGUCCCAGUUUGGACCAGUUUGGC